This is a long non-coding RNA of Musca vetustissima, 199 nucleotides long. RefSeq lists it as uncharacterized. The transcript has 2 exons. The record is from RefSeq and is a predicted model, not a curated record. NCBI's taxonomy places the organism in Eukaryota, Metazoa, Arthropoda, Insecta, Diptera, Muscidae.
AUGGUCGCUCUCCGCUCGUAUUAAUCGACCGUGGAAUCAUAAUAAAUGCCGAAUAUUAUCACGAUAAUAUUUUGGAGACCUUGGACAUUCCAACAGGACUCAGCACGCGCCACCCAAGAAUGGUUACAAAAUGAGGUUCCUGGCUUAAUUUCCAGCGCACAAUAGCUACUAAAAUCUCCGGAUACCAAUCCGUUGGUCU